GCCAAGCACCCGGAGCUGCGGCGCGUGUUUGUAAUCCCAGCUCCCCGGGAGGCUGAAGUCCGCAUUGUGAGUGCUCUGGAAUUCGGGGCUACAGCGCUGUAUGGAGCAGACGUCCGCACCGAGCCUGGCACCAACGUGGGAUUCCCAGGGGCUCUUGGAGGUACCAGGUUGUCUAAGGAAGGAGGACCCGGCCCAGGCCGGACGCGGAGCAGGUUAAACUCCCGGUGCUGGUCUCCGGUGGGACUGAGCCUGAGAGCAAUUCCUGCAGUUCCGCUAGGAAUAUCUGACGAAACCCGGUCU
Unclassified non-coding RNA from Otolemur garnettii (small-eared galago), 300 nucleotides. It matches the Rfam family "Metazoan signal recognition particle RNA". From Rfam's summary of the family: The signal recognition particle (SRP) is a universally conserved ribonucleoprotein. It is involved in the co-translational targeting of proteins to membranes. The eukaryotic SRP consists of a 300-nucleotide 7S RNA and six proteins: SRPs 72, 68, 54, 19, 14, and 9. Lineage: Eukaryota; Metazoa; Chordata; Mammalia; Primates; Galagidae. The record is from Ensembl.